GAACGAACGCUGGCGGCAGGCCUAAUACAUGCAAGUCGAGCGCGCCCUUCGGGGUGAGCGGCGGACGGGUGAGUAACGCGUGGGAAUAUGCCCUUCUCUAAGGAAUAGCCUCUGGAAACGGAGAGUAAUACCUUAUACGCCCUUUGGGGGAAAGAUUUAUCGGAGAAGGAUUAGCCCGCGUUAGAUUAGGUAGUUGGUGGGGUAAUGGCCUACCAAGCCUACGAUCUAUAGCUGGUUUGAGAGGAUGAUCAGCCACACUGGGACUGAGACACGGCCCAGACUCCUACGGGAGGCAGCAGUAGGGAAUCUUAGACAAUGGGGGCAACCCUGAUCUAGCCAUGCCGCGUGUGUGAUGAAGGCCCUAGGGUCGUAAAGCACUUUCGCCAGAGAUGAUAAUGACAGUAUCUGGUAAAGAAACCCCGGCUAACUCCGUGCCAGCAGCCGCGGUAAUACGGAGGGGGUUAGCGUUGUUCGGAAUUACUGGGCGUAAAGCGCACGUAGGCGGAUUAGUAAGUUAGAGGUGAAAUCCCAGGGCUCAACCCUGGAACUGCCUUUAAUACUGCUAGUCUUGAGUUCGAGAGAGGUAAGUGGAAUUCCGAGUGUAGAGGUGAAAUUCGUAGAUAUUCGGAGGAACACCAGUGGCGAAGGCGGCUUACUGGCUCGAUACUGACGCUGAGGUGCGAAAGUGUGGGGAGCAAACAGGAUUAGAUACCCUGGUAGUCCACACCGUAAACGAUGAAUGCCAGACGUCAGCAAGUAUACUUGUUGGUGUCACACCUAACGGAUUAAG
Molecule: ribosomal RNA, 790 nt
Filed under: uncultured Planktomarina sp.
Lineage: Bacteria; Pseudomonadati; Pseudomonadota; Alphaproteobacteria; Rhodobacterales; Paracoccaceae
Description: bacterial SSU rRNA
Rfam family: Bacterial small subunit ribosomal RNA
Source: RNAcentral